AAAAGACUUAGUCCUAACCUUACCGUUAGUUCUUGCCAAAUAUAUACAUGCAAGUAUCCGCACCCCAGUGAAAAUGCCCUCAACACCUUAACAAGGCCAGAGGAGCAGGUAUCAGGCUCACUCCAAUAAACUGUAGCCCAAAACGCCUUGCCUAGCCACACCCUCACGGGUACUCAGCAGUAAUUAAUAUUAAGCAAUAAGUGUAAACUUGACUUAGUUAAAGCAAUCCAUCAGGGCUGGUGAAUCUUGUGCCAGCCACCGCGGUCAUACAAGAAGCCCAAAUUAACCCACACGGCGUAAAGAGUGGUACCCUGUUAUCGUCCCAACUAAGACUGAAAUGUAACUAAGCUGUUACAAGCACAUGAUACAUUUAAUAUCUUCCACCAAAACGAUCUUAGCCUCACGACCAAUCAAACACCACGAAAGCCAGGGCACAAACUGGGAUUAGAUACCCCACUAUGCCUAGCCCUAAAUCUUGAUGCUUCCCCUACCUAAGCAUCCGCCUGAGUACUACGAGCACAAACGCUUAAAACUCUAAGGACUUGGCGGUACUCCAAACCCACCUAGAGGAGCCUGUUCUAUAAUCGAUAACCCACGAUACACCCAACCACCCCUCGCCACAUCAGCCUAUAUACCGCCGUCCCCAGCUCACCCCUAAUUGAGGGACAGAUAGUGAGCACAAUAGUCUCAUCCUACUAGCAAGACAGGUCAAGGUAUAGCUCAUGGGGUGGAAGAAAUGGGCUACAUUUUCUAACUUAGAAAACUACGACAAGAAGCAUGAAACUACUUCUGAAAGGCGGAUUUAGCAGUAAAACAGGAUAAUAAUGCCUUUUUUAAGCCGGCCCUGGAGUACGUACAUACCGCCCGUCACCCUCCUCACAAGCCACCCCCACUAAAUUCUUAAACUGCCCUCAGGCUAAAGAUGAGGUAAGUCGUAACAAGGUAAGUGUACCGGAAGGUGCACUUAGUCUACC
RNAcentral lists this non-coding RNA (974 nucleotides) under Pachyramphus minor. Its description in RNAcentral is "12S ribosomal RNA". It matches the Rfam family "Bacterial small subunit ribosomal RNA". Lineage: Eukaryota; Metazoa; Chordata; Aves; Passeriformes; Tyrannidae. The record is from RNAcentral.